AGAGUUUGAUCAUGGCUCAGAACGAACGCUGGCGGCGUGCUUAACACAUGCAAGUCGCGUGCGCAGUCCGUAGCAAUACGGAUGGGCGCACGGCGCACGGGUGCGUAACACGUGGGCAAUCUGCCCUCUGAUGGGGAAUAACCCGCCGAAAGGCGGGCUAAUUCCGCAUAAGAUUCCCCGGGACUUCGGUUCUGGGAUUGAAAGCAGUAAUGCGUCGGAGGAGGAGCCCGCGCCCGAUUAGCUAGUUGGUGAGGUAACGGCUCACCAAGGCAAUGAUCGGUAGCUGGUCUGAGAGGAUGAUCAGCCACACUGGAACUGAGACACGGUCCAGACUCCUACGGGAGGCAGCAGUGGGGAAUCUUGCACAAUGGGCGAAAGCCUGAUGCAGCGACGCCGCGUGGGGGAUGAAGCAUUUCGGUGUGUAAACCCCUUUCGACUGGGAAGAAUACCUCGCAAGAGGGGUGACGGUACCAGUAGAAGAAGCCCCGGCUAACUACGUGCCAGCAGCCGCGGUAAGACGUAGGGGGCCAGCGUUGUUCGGAAUUACUGGGUGUAAAGGGUUCGUAGGCGGUGCGGCAAGUUGGGAGUGAAAUCUCUGGGCUUAACCCAGAGGCUGCUUCCAAAACUGCUGUGCUCGAGUGUGGGAGAGGCGCGUGGAAUUGCAGGUGUAGCGGUGAAAUGCGUAGAUAUCUGCAGGAACACCCGUGGCGAAAGCGGCGCGCUGGACCACUACUGACGCUGAGGAACGAAAGCUAGGGGAGCAAACAGGAUUAGAUACCCCGGUAGUCC
RNAcentral lists this ribosomal RNA (789 nucleotides) under uncultured bacterium. RNAcentral describes it as "bacterial SSU rRNA". It matches the Rfam family "Bacterial small subunit ribosomal RNA", at positions 8 to 796 of the family's 1533-position model. The record is from RNAcentral.